Long non-coding RNA from Sorghum bicolor (sorghum), 1917 nucleotides. RefSeq lists it as uncharacterized. NCBI's taxonomy places the organism in Eukaryota, Viridiplantae, Streptophyta, Magnoliopsida, Poales, Poaceae. The record is from RefSeq and is a predicted model, not a curated record. The transcript has 3 exons.
UGCCCUCCCCACGCCGCCACGAGAGCCACGAGCCCGUGCUACAAGCCUGCGACACGCUCCUCUCGCUCCUCCCCCGUCCCUUGCUCCUCCGUGCCAGCGCAGCCCCCAGCAUCGUCGGGCGCCAGAGGCUACAUCCUCUAUGCAUCCCACACCACCAGGCACCUCAUCCAUGCCCCUAGCAACUGCGGCGGCCGCCGUCCUACUUCACGCCCUCGCGUCCUCCACUCCUCCGCCAGAUACUUCAUCGGAUCCGCGGCAUCAAGUGCCCCAGGGGCGAGCUCGCCGACGCCUUGCCCAAACUCUGCGUUCCUGAAUAGGGUUGGGCGCCCCUGCGCCGAUUUUGAUCCAGCGAGGACUAUGGCCAACCACGACAUUCUACAAGGCCAGCAGAUGCGGACCCUGAUGCCGGCCCAGCCAGGUCAACUCUCGUCACCCAUGCUAGUGGGGGGCAGCAGAUGAGGAUCCCCACGCCGGCAGCCAGCAGCCGGCGUGCUCAGGUCCUCUCCGUGGUGCUAGCGAGCAAAUCUCCAACAUCGGCAUCCUCCUCGUCAAUGGAUCUUGGAGGCAGAUCUGCCACACCCACUGAAGCUCCAGCGCCCUCUCCUUGCCGGUCCCAAACUUGCCAUCCUCCUGGAGGUGCUUUGAACUGAACCAAUGGCAUCCAUCAAGCUCAGCCCCUCCAACCAGCAAGAGUGAAUGGAUGAUUUAGCGACAAGGAGGAUGUUAAGUUAGCUGGAUGGUACCGAGCAGGCGUAAGCCAUUAGCUGCACCCAAGGACACAGAUUUGGAUUGUUUGAAGUGGUGAAGGAUCUUCCCUUUUUACAUCAAGUGUAGCUCUCUAUAACAACAGUGAAAACAGCAUGUGCAGUGAGGUACUAGAGAAAAACUUGUAUUCUGCAGGGAUUACAUUUGUCUCCACUAUUCCCUGAUAGCAGCUCUUGAUGCAUGUAAGCAGCUCAACAUGUUCGAUUCCAUAGAAGCUCCAGAUGCAUGUGCUGGCUUUACUUAUUCAUUAUUGCAAUUUUAUCAAAAUUAAUCAAAUGAGUAGUCUAAUAUUUGGACACAUGAGUGCAUAGAUUAGUUGUCAAGACAUGAAACCAUACUACAAUUAGGAUUGUAUUUUGAUUGUAUCCAACUUAUGAUUUGCUUUUGGGGCACAUUAUGUCUACGACAAGUAAUGACUGCUGUUAUUUAUGGACUUCCCACAUGCUUUUAUUUAUUUAUAUUUAUGAUAAAUAUAUCCUGGUUUAAAUCAUUUUGUAAUUACUCUUAGUCCUUAUGACAGCCAUGCUGUGACUAAAAAAUUUAGACCUUUUUACCAUUGUGCAGUUCUAUUAUCCCAAUCCAAUGAAUUUAGGUUUAUGACAAGUAUCAUACCUCUUUUUUAUCAUAGUUUUAAUUAAAAUUGAAUUUGGGAAAAUUGAGACCAUACUUUACUUCAAUUUUCACAUAUAUUUAUCAUAGUUUUAAUUAAAAAUUGAUUCUUGUGGCUGUUGAUGUUUUUUAUAGUUAGCAGCCAACAUCUUUGGCUCUGCAAAUUAGUUUAGUACUUUGCAAACAUUUUUAUUAGUAAACUUAAUUUUUCUGAUAUCAUUUUAUCUACCUCAGUUUAGUCUGAUUGUAGGCAUGAGAACAUACCACUUGGUUUGGUGGACUUCUGUCAGCAUGAACUGGGAAGUGGAGUCGACAUCAACCUUAGUCUUAUUUUCUUGUUAUCUUUCCCCUUGUCUUUUUUAAUCUGUUGUUUUUUAUCUUUUUGGUUCAUGUAGCAAGUAACAAUUCGGAUCAUUUUGAUAAAGGUAGCCGGUACUAGACUUAUCAUUGAUGAAUCAGUGUUUCAUGUUUGUAAUGUAAUGGUUGAUCUUGUAUGUAUGAGUGAUUAGACUUGGUCAUGAAUGAAUUUAUUUAUACGAGAAA